GGCAGACUUGACACAUGCAAGUCGAGCGGGCGUAGCAAUACGUCAGCGGCAGACGGGUGAGUAACGCGUGGGAACGUACCUUUUGGUUCGGAACAACACAGGGAAACUUGUGCUAAUACCGGAUAAGCCCUUACGGGGAAAGAUUUAUCGCCGAAAGAUCGGCCCGCGUCUGAUUAGCUAGUUGGUGAGGUAAUGGCUCACCAAGGCGACGAUCAGUAGCUGGUCUGAGAGGAUGAUCAGCCACAUUGGGACUGAGACACGGCCCAAACUCCUACGGGAGGCAGCAGUGGGGAAUAUUGGACAAUGGGGGCAACCCUGAUCCAGCCAUGCCGCGUGAGUGAUGAAGGCCCUAGGGUUGUAAAGCUCUUUUGUGCGGGAAGAUAAUGACGGUACCGCAGGAAUAAGCCCCGGCUAACUUCGUGCCAGCAGCCGCGGUAAUACGAAGGGGGCUAGCGUUGCUCGGAAUCACUGGGCGUAAAGGGUGCGUAGGCGGGUCUUUAAGUCAGGGGUGAAAUCCUGGAGCUCAACUCCAGAACUGCCUUUGAUACUGAAGAUCUUGAGUCCGGGAGAGGUGAGUGGAACUGCGAGUGUAGAGGUGAAAUUCGUAGAUAUUCGCAAGAACACCAGUGGCGAAGGCGGCUCACUGGCCCGGUACUGACGCUGAGGCACGAAAGCGUGGGGAGCAAACAGGAUUAGAUACCCUGGUAGUCCACGCCGUAAACGAUGAAUGCCAGCCGUUAGUGGGUUUACUCACUAGUGGCGCAGCUCACGCUAUAAGCAUUCCGCCUGGGGAGUACGGUCGCAAGAUUAAUACUCAAAGGAAUUGACGGGUGCCCGCACAAGCGGUGGAGCAUGUGGUUUAAUUCGACGCAACGCGCAGAACCUUACCAGCCCUUGACAUGUCCAUGACCGGUCACAGAGAUAUGACCCUCUCUUCGGAUCCUGCAGCACAGGUGCUGCAUGGCUGUCGUCAUCUCGUGUCCUGAGAUGUUGGGUUAAGUCCUUCAACGAGCGCAACCCUCGUCCUUAGUUGCUACCAUUUAGUUGAACACUCUUAUGAAACUGCCGGUGAUUAGCCCCCUCGAAAGUGGGGAUGACAUCAAGGUCUCCCCGCCCUUACAGAUUGGCCUACGCCCCUCCCACCAUGGCGUUGACACUGGGGUGCUUACGGGGGACCCUUGUCAAAUUUCAAAAACCCUUUAAAUUUCGGAUUGGGGUUGGC
RNAcentral lists this ribosomal RNA (1222 nucleotides) under Bradyrhizobium sp. RNAcentral's name for it is "bacterial SSU rRNA". It matches the Rfam family "Bacterial small subunit ribosomal RNA", at positions 41 to 1308 of the family's 1533-position model. Lineage: Bacteria; Pseudomonadati; Pseudomonadota; Alphaproteobacteria; Hyphomicrobiales; Nitrobacteraceae. The record is from RNAcentral.